UGUGGGAAUUACCAGCUCCUGUAGAGAGUUAUGGGAGAUAAGUGGGAAUUGGGCUCAUCUGAGCUGGCUUUAUAAACCUGAAGGCUUGGGACAGUCCUGUUUCCUGCUGGCAACUUCCAUGACUUACAGCAGCAUCUCAUUUCAAUGGUCAGUGGAAGGAUCACCUCUCUUUUUCCAGGCUACCUAGGCUAUCUUAGGGCUCCAUAAAUGCCAGACAGUAGCAGGAGACUGAGAUCACAGAAGGCAUAUAAAGCCUAAAUUCUUCUGUGGUUGAGGAAGGUAGGACCCCAAACGCAUUUAGGAGUGUUGUAACUCCAGCUGAUCUGCCAUGAACCACUUUAUUUCCAUAGGGUUCAGAGAAUUCCUGCCAUGUGACUGCUCAUUACUUCCGUGAGCCAGCACAGAGUUAAUUAGUGGCAUGUGGAUCUUCCAGCCAACUUCUAGACCUGCCUAGGAGUGCACAGCAGAACUGUACAAGAUGGGGCCAAGCUGAGCUGAUGAGACCCAUAGUUUGUUCAGGAUCAGGAAAAACAUCUGACUCCUUGAGAGCCAUUCCCCUGGUGAAUAUGGAACAACACAAGCAAAAGAUCUUGUGUUAUUCUGUGGCUGGCACCAGGAUUACUCUCUUGGAUGUAAUACCCAGGAUGUGGAGACAUGAGAAAGCUGUUCAACCAUGUAUUGGUUUGGCAGGUCACUGUGCUUCUCAGGAAUGCAAAUAAGAGAAAGCCUUAGCAAGUGGAAAGCAUGGUAUGAUGCUUGUCAUGAGGAAUCUUCCCAAACUAGUGCCAUUGUUACGCAGCAGUCUGUCCUUCUCAGUCCAAGCACAGUCAUGGCUUGGAGAAGCUGCUUUCCAGGCUUCAGACUGUGAGCAGAGCUCAUCUGACUCCUCCAUGGGAAACAAACACACUGCAGAGCUGGAUGUUGUUUUACAGGAGAGGUGCCCCACAUCUGGUACAACCUCAUGGACACCAAGUUUAAUAAAUCAAGAGCAGGAUCAAGACAAUCAUCCAGAUGCUGUAUUGGGUGGGACUGUCAGCUGGGAUAAUUUUGGAUCCAGAAGCAGGUUCAUGUCCCAGCAAACAAAAGAGGUAUGGGUUUAGUUGGAGUUAAAGACAGCUUGAAUAUCUGUCGCCUGCUCCCUCAGUGGAAUGUUUUGGUGUUAGAAGCUAUCUAGAAGAGGGUGAGAAUAUUGUCCACCUUUGCAUUUUGUGUAAUAAAAUGAUCCCUGGUCAGCUGCCCGGUCAGUUAAGAAUAAUGCAUCCACCACUUUGCAUGAUUAAUCAGAUGUCAGGAUGUAUGCUCUCUCCCAGCAUAUCAUCCCAUGGCAGCCAGCAGCGCGUUUACAAAUGUAGAAAGAAAGAAAAAAAAAGCAAUAAUAGGAAAAAGAAUUAUUUUUAUGUGUACUUGUCUGAAGACAUAUUUUUCCAUUCAGUAAUUUGAAAAAAAAUAACCAUCUGGAAAAAAUCAUAUUACGGACAAGGCAUGUCAUGACAUUUACAGCAAAUAUUUUUGCUGCUAGUAUCAAAACCAGCCCUUUGCUCUAUCAAGGGCUGAAUAUUCGUAUACACAUAAAUGUUCAGUAAAUAAAAGGGCCUCUGUAGAAACUCCUUGCUGGGCAAUCCUGCGCUCCCAGAGUUCACAUUCUCAUUUGUUUAUACUUUUUUCAAACCCCUAUUUUUUGCAUCUCAGAUGUAAGUGCCUGUAGUUCCUUUCCUUUGCCCUUUUGGUCUCAGGAGGAUGACAAUAAAAGGCACUUCUGUGGAAAAAGUCCUGAUGUAAGUAAAGGUAUCAGGAGGUUAUGAGGUCAUGAGCAUAAAUGAGGCAAAGUUUCCAAAGAAAUUAUCAAGAAAAUUUAUAAUCGUAGGCAGUCUUGUUGAGCCAGAAGAAGAAAUUAAAUGUGUGCAUCGUGUGCCAGGUUUUGAGAGGGAGCAGAGAAAGAAACCAAACAGCUCCUGUCAUCUUCUAGAUUGGUUGGAGCCUCCUAAGUAUGUUGUUGGUCCCUGCAAGCUGCACUGUGGCAGCAGUGCUUGCGGUUGAAUGACAACUCCCCUCUCUGUGGCACUCCUCCUACUGAGGUAGAAGAGCCUUUAUUAAAACUCAGCACUCUUUUUGAGUCUAGAGGCUAAUGUAUGGGUUACAUGAGGUGUACAUCUUGCACAGGGUCUUUUUCACAUAGGCAGGGUGCCCCCAGUUUGGGUUAUCUGCAGUCUGUGCAUCCUACAGGAUGUUUUCUCCUUUGGGGUAUCUGGAGCACAUUCCUGGGAUGCUGCAGGGUCCAGUAUCCGUACAGGUAUCUGCAUUCCUCUCCAAAGCAGCAGCUCUGAGGAUACUGUUUCAGUAAAGAUCAUGCCUUGAAAAGGUGAGAUGUCAGCAUCUACAUUGGGGUGGCAGAAAGAAGGAAAUUACGGCUUUGGUUUACAGAGCAGUAAGCAGUGGUGACAUUGGCAGCCAGAUGUUCCCAGGGUGUGGGUGUUUGGAUGCACAGGUUUCCCUGUGGCCAGCCUCUGUCUGUUGAGAGGUUAUGGGCUGUAACGUUCAUACUGCUUGUAACAUCCAAUUACCAUAUGCACUAUAAACUCAUAUAUAUCGUGGGCUUUGAAUGUUCCUUUAAAAAUAUAAUUUAAUAUAUUAAACUAUAGAAACUGUCAGGUAGUACUGAUACUUAUAUUUCUUUAUCGUAUGUAUUAUCAUACCUUUAAAAUCUAAAAGGUUCUAGGAAUUCUCCCUGUUUUGCAUGGAUUCUGAACAUAACCUACUAUUUUACUCAAGCAGGCACUUUGCAACUGUUACAGUUAAUUUUAAAUAUAUUUUCCUCUUAGCAUCUUAUGAGCACUGCCUCCCAAGGUGCCUCCACAAAUGAUGGAGGUAGCAGACAAGCAGUUGUUCUGUUUAGCCUCCUUGAAAUGGUAACGUGGUAAUUCUUAAUCGCAGCAUGUGACUCCUUUGACAUAAAGGAAAAGUGCUUCCUUCUCUGGGAGGAGGGGCAGUGGAAAUGAAUCUUCUUAACAAAAAUCAAUACCCCAAAAUUUGAAAUCAGUUGAUGCAACUGAGUUCAACUUGCUUAUUAACAGACCUGACCAAUCAGUUCCAUGUGCUCCCUGUUGCUAAGUUGCCUCUAUAAACAAAUUGAUUAAUUGAUUUAUAUUUUUCCCCCCAAGGCCUUUUAGUGUAUAAGCAGGUCAGGCAGCUAUGAUUUCAUUCUGCUCAUCUGCUCAGCACUGGCUUUGUAAAUCAGGUUGGAAUCCCAGUUCUUCAUCUCAAAGAUCAGCAGUGUCAUCUGAAAACUCAGAGAGAGAGGUGGAUUCAUGGAGAAACUUCAGCUCUCUGAGAAGAUGGGGAAAGAGUGGGACUGGAUUUCAGUGUGGGAGUGGAAACUAUCCACCA
Pezoporus occidentalis (night parrot) is the source of this 3384-nucleotide long non-coding RNA. RefSeq lists it as uncharacterized. Lineage: Eukaryota; Metazoa; Chordata; Aves; Psittaciformes; Psittacidae. The transcript has 4 exons. The record is from RefSeq and is a predicted model, not a curated record.